Molecule: transfer RNA, 88 nt
Filed under: Candidatus Babelota bacterium
Lineage: Bacteria
Description: tRNA-Leu
Rfam family: tRNA
About the family: Transfer RNA (tRNA) molecules are approximately 80 nucleotides in length. Their secondary structure includes four short double-helical elements and three loops (D, anti-codon, and T loops).
Source: RNAcentral
GCCGAAGUGGCGAAAUUGGCAGACGCGCUGGAUUCAGGGUCUAGUCUCCUUUUUGGAGGUAGGGGUUCAACUCCCCUCUUCGGCACCA